GAACAUAUUGCAAAAGUAAUUCCAUAGGAAAUAUAUAGUUAUACUGUCUACAUGAGCAUGAUGAGUAACAAAGCUCAAAAUGUUUGCAAUAUGUCCCCCUGUCUUUCCUGUUCGUUUGUGCUCGUCAGUCGACUUAUCGCGACUUCACCACAAGAUGGCGCCCAGCUGAGAGAUUCUAUGAAGGUACUGCUUGAAUAAACAGUCUUUUUUAAUAAACUUCCUGUGCACUUCCAAAGUUCUAAGUAUAAUAUGAAAUGCACGGAUAACAAUAGUGUGCUUUUGCAAGCACACUAAUAAUAAUAUGAAACGCACGGAUAACAAUAGUGUGCUUUGCUUGCAGCAAGCACACUAACAAGCACACUGCUGUACAGGACUCAUAUCAUGUACAGUAAUAGAGCCUUGAAUUUCUCUGUGGAUACAAGUCUGUUAAGUCUCAACACCUCCUGCAAGUGGUUCCAUUUGAUUGGUCCAAAAGACUGAAAAGCUAAUUUGCCAAUCUCAGUUCUCACUCGAGGAGUUUCUAGGGUAAUAAAACUUUGUGAUCUUGUACUAUGUCUGCCAUGUCUAAUUUUUAAAAGUGAAGUAAGGUAAGAAGGUAAUUUACCUUGUAAUGCCUUGUACUGUAGAUAAAUAGGAGGCAAUGUCUUUCCCUCCUCUCAUACAGAGAAGACCAUCCUAUAUUCUUAUACAGUUUACAGUGAUGAGUUUUAAAAGCAUCACCUGUGACAAAACGUAUAGCACUAUGGUAAAUAUUAUUUACAGCAAUUACCAUUUUAUUUGACCCUUAAAUGCAUUUACUGUAUGUUCCCUAAAUGGUACACAAAUUGAACAAGUUGCCCAAUACAAAUAUCUUGGAUUUUGGCUUGAUAAUAAGCUGUCUUUUAAAACACAUGUGCUUGAGCUCACAAAGAAGGUUAAAGCUAAGCUAGGUGCCCUAUAUAGGAUCAGGUCUUGCCUUUCCCUUGAGAGCAGAAAGACCGUUGUUCAAUCAACCAUUCUGUCAGUCCUAGACUAUGGCGAUAUUCUCUAUAUGCAUACAGCGCCUUCCACCUUGAAAGCUCUUGACAAAGUUUACGAUAGUGCUAUACGUUUUGUCACAGGUGAUGCCGGCGUACUUACCGAAGCAAUACAUGUUUAGGAUUUACUUAUUGUCACAUUUUACCAUCAAACUAACUACUACAAAAACUUUAACCACUGUGUAAUUGUGCCAUAAUACUUAGAAGUUACUAUAAUUCAGUCCUUCAUAGCACCAUCAUGUUGGCAUAAUUACAGAAAUAUUAUGUCACAAUAAGUAAAUCCUAAAUAUUUAUUGCUUCAGUAAGUACAUUAUUUACAGCAGUUAUUACCAUUUUAUUUUACCCAAGUUAUUUGCAUUGUUUUUGUAUGCACAGUAAUUGUCUAGAAAUUAGACAUUAAUUAUUUGUAAUAUGUAGUUUAAAAAUAUUAUUACCAUGAAACUGCAUAAUAUUACCAUAACAUUACCCACUUGUUACCGAUCUGUAAUGUAAAGUGUUACCGUAAAGGUAAUUCUAUAAGCACUAGGACUGUUUUGCUUGAUGCUGUAUUGAGGCAUGACCUGAAAAUAAUCUAAAUAUCCAUGUGAUGUUGUUCAAUGUAUAAUGUUGUUGAAUGAAGUUCAGGUGCUAAUUGUGAAGGGUGAUUUGUUAACUUCUCAACAGUUGAAAAUAAUACAAGUGUUAACUUAUUUGAACUUCUACUGAUGAUGUUAAGAGAAGAAAGACUGUAUUGCUUUGCAUGUUUUAGAGUUAUAUGAGCAGAGCAUCUCGUUACGGAUUUCACAAUGGAUCUGAAGUUUAUCUUUUAUUAAAAGGGGAGUCACA
Long non-coding RNA from Sardina pilchardus (European sardine), 1841 nucleotides. RefSeq lists it as uncharacterized. NCBI's taxonomy places the organism in Eukaryota, Metazoa, Chordata, Actinopteri, Clupeiformes, Clupeidae. The transcript is spliced from 2 exons. The record is from RefSeq and is a predicted model, not a curated record.